Molecule: ribosomal RNA, 440 nt
Filed under: uncultured bacterium
Lineage: Bacteria
Description: partial 16S ribosomal RNA
Rfam family: Bacterial small subunit ribosomal RNA
Source: RNAcentral
CCUACGGGAGGCAGCAGUGGGGAAUAUUGCACAAUGGGGGAAACCCUGAUGCAGCGACGCCGCGUGAGUGAAGAAGUAAUUCGUUAUGUAAAGCUCUAUCAGCAGGGAAGAAAAUGCCGGUACCUGAGUACGAAGCCCCGGCUAACUACGUGCCAGCAGCCGCGGUAACACGUCGGGGGCAAGCGUUAUCCGGAUUUACUGGGUGUAAAGGGAGCGUAGACGGCCGUGCAAGUCUGGAGUGAAAGGCCGGGGCUCAACCCCCGGACUGCUUUGGAAACUGGACGGCUGGAGUGCAGGAGAGGUAUGUGGAAUUCCUAGUGUAGCGGUGAAAUGCGUAGAUAUUAGGAGGAACACCAGUGGCGAAGGCGGCUUACUGGACUGUAACUGACGUUGAGGCUCGAAAGCGUGGGGAGCAAACAGGAUUAGAUACCCCGGUAGUC